GAUGAACGCUAGCGGCAGGCUUAAUACAUGCAAGUCGAGGGGCAGCAGGUCCCGCAGCAAUGCGGGAUGCUGGCGACCGGCAAACGGGUGCGGAACACGUACAGAACCUUCCUUUAAGUGGGGAAUAGCCCGGGGAAACCCGGAUUAAUACCCCGUAACAUAAUGAAGUGGCAUCACUUUAUUAUUAUAGUAGCAAUGUGCUUGAAGAUGGCUGUGCUGCUGAUUAGGUAGUUGGUGGGGUAACGGCCCACCAAGCCUACGAUCAGUAACUGGUGUGAGAGCACGAACAGUCACACGAGCACUGAGACACGGGCCCGACUCCUACGGGAGGCAGCAGUAAGGAAUAUUGGGCAAUGGACGCAAGUCUGACCCAGCCAUGCCGCGUGGAGGAUGAAGGUCCUCUGGAUUGUAAACUUCUUUUAUCUGGGAAGAAAUCUAUUUUUUCUAAAGUAGUUGACGGUACCAGAUGAAUAAGCACCGGCUAACUCCGUGCCAGCCGCCGCGGUAA
This 508-nucleotide ribosomal RNA is filed under the name uncultured bacterium. Its description in RNAcentral is "partial 16S ribosomal RNA". It matches the Rfam family "Bacterial small subunit ribosomal RNA", at positions 28 to 523 of the family's 1533-position model. The record is from RNAcentral.